GAUGAACGCUGGCGGCGUGCCUAAUACAUGCAAGUCGAGCGAACAGACGAGGAGCUUGCUCCUCUGACGUUAGCGGCGGACGGGUGAGUAACACGUGGAUAACCUACCUAUAAGACUGGGAUAACUUCGGGAAACCGGAGCUAAUACCGGAUAAUAUAUUGAACCGCAUGGUUCAAUAGUGAAAGACGGUUUUGCUGUCACUUAUAGAUGGAUCCGCGCCGCAUUAUCUAGUUGGUAAGGUAACGGCUUACCAAGGCAACGAUGCGUACCCGACCUGAGAGGAUGCAGGGGAAAAUUGUGAGUGAGACAAGGCCCAGAAUGAGACGGGAGGCAGCAGUGGGGAAUUUUCCGAUAUGGACGAAAGGCUGAUGAAGCACGGCCGCGUGAGAGAUAAAGGCCUGAGGGUUGUAAAGCUCUGUUAAUCGGGACGAAAGGCCUUCUUCCGAAUAGUGAGCAGGAUUGACGGGACCGGAAUAGAAAGCCACGGCUAACUACGGG
RNAcentral lists this ribosomal RNA (498 nucleotides) under uncultured bacterium. RNAcentral's name for it is "partial 16S ribosomal RNA". It matches the Rfam family "Bacterial small subunit ribosomal RNA", at positions 28 to 507 of the family's 1533-position model. The record is from RNAcentral.